AUGAACGCUGGCGGCGUGCUUAACACAUGCAAGUCGAACGGGAUCCAAGGGGUGCUUGCACUUUUUGGUGAGAGUGGCGAACGGGUGAGUAACACGUGAGUAACCUGUCCUUUUCUUUGGGAUAAGCAUUCGAAAGGGUGUUUAAUACCUUAUGUUCUGUCUGCCUCGCAUGGGGUGGGUGGGAAAGGCUUUGGCCGGAUUUGGGUGGGCUCGCGGUCUAUCAGCUUGUUGGUGGGGUGAUGGCUUACCAAGGCUUUGACGGGUAGCCGGCCUGAGAGGGGGGUCGGUCACAUUGGGACUGAGAUACGGCCCAGACUCCUGCGGGAGGCAGCAGUGGGGGAAAUUGCACAAUGGGCGAAAGCCUGAUGCAGCGACGCCGCGUGGGGGAUGAAGGCCUUCGGGGUGUAAACUUCUUUUGCUCUGAACAAGGCAUGCCAGUGGGUGUGUUGAGUGUAGGGGUUGAUUAGCGCCGGCUAACUACGUG
This 484-nucleotide ribosomal RNA is filed under the name uncultured bacterium. RNAcentral describes it as "partial 16S ribosomal RNA". It matches the Rfam family "Bacterial small subunit ribosomal RNA", at positions 29 to 507 of the family's 1533-position model. The record is from RNAcentral.